Molecule: long non-coding RNA, 5674 nt
Filed under: Brassica napus (rape)
Lineage: Eukaryota; Viridiplantae; Streptophyta; Magnoliopsida; Brassicales; Brassicaceae
Description: long non-coding RNA (BNAP_LNC009124)
Source: RNAcentral
CAAAUCAGCUUGACUCAUUACACUUCUCUUGCUUUCCACAGACUCUGUUGGCUUCUUAACCGAGAUCUUUACAAUCAAUCUUUUCUUUUGUUUGUCAUUUGAAAGAGAUUCCAGCUUCUGAGAUGGCUUCUCCAACUGUUGCAAAGGUGAUGCGCUUCUAUCAGAGUCACUAUUGGAUGAAUCAUCAGCUUCAUCCGAAGAGCUUCCAGAAAUCUUUGAAAGCAAGGACCGAGCAUUUUGCGCGGCUGCUCUUUGCGGUCGUGAUUCCUUGACAUCAGAAUAUCUUCUUUUUGAAGCCUUCACGCCAAUUCUUCUGUUUUUGAUUCUCUUAUUUCCAAAUUCGGAGCUAUCAAUCUCAUCCAAAAUCCUCUUAUCACGCCUUCCAGAUGAAGUAGCCACAUCAGCCUGAGAAAACGGGAGUUAGUCAAUAGAUAACAAAUAACAAAAUCGCAUGAGAUGAACAAAACAUACUCUAGGAUGUUGUCUUCGUCUUUUCCGAUUAUAACUAUUUUCGUAAAUAUUUUCAACGUCACUGUCCUCGGAACUGCACUCAAGUUCAUUUGAAGAGUUGGAACAUGGGCUUGCCUUAGCUCCAUCAGAGGAAACUUCAGCAUUGUACUCCGAAUCAUUGUCAUCACUCAGAACUUCAUGUUCUGGUUCCCAGUACAUAGCAUCUAUAAACUCAGGCAGUGGCUCGAUCAAUCUAUCCAGAUCUGCCAAAGGAGGCAUAAUAUAAUCUUGACCUAGACUAAAAUCAGGGCCAACAGAAAACUUUAUCGAGGAAGGACGCCAUUCGACUCCUAAUGCACCCAGUCUGCGUUGCUGAAACAUUGUCUGGUCAGGUUCUGGAUACGGAAUCAUACCUGAAAAUUUUUAAAACAAACACCAAGAAUAUAUGCCAUGAAUAACCAAUAUCUUGCAUAAAAGACAUAAAGAUAAGCUUUUGGGUACAAACUUGAAUCACAAAGAAGAUCUUGAAGGUUCCUCCGAUGGGGAAGAAGCUGAGUCUCCUGCACCGUGGAAAUUAUAGCUUUAAAUUUAGUCACAAUGAAACUGCAAGGAUAUCAUUCAUACAUCUCCGCCUUUUUAAUUCGAUAAAUGCAUAAAAGUGUGCAUGUUUCGGUGAGCUCUCUUUAAAAGAACGCAACAAUAACUAGAAGCAAAACAGGAGAUACAAGUAUUUGAAACCAACCUGAUCAAGAACAUGUCCAUUGGUAUCUCGAAUAAGAGGACGGUAAUCACCAAGGAAGAACUUACACAAAACAAGAAAAGACAAAGGAUCAGAAAGCAAUAGAGGAUCACUAAAAACUGCAGCCAUAUAUAAGAAAAAGAUUAUGCAUUAGGGAUGCAAAAUCCACCAUAAGUUUUGUGCAUUCUGAAAGGUCGUCGUCGUCUAAAUAAAUAGAUCUCUCGCUCGGGAAAAAGUUGCAGGAAACCCUAAACCGAUCCCAAAUUCGUUGCGGCUGAGAUAUCGAUUCGAUAUGGCAGGAGGAGGAGGUGGGUAGUUUUGGAUUUCGAUUACUUUUUUGUAGAUUAAAGCGGAUAUUAAUGGUGAUUGAUUUAUGUGGUAGGUGAUGCGGCGUUACAAAGGCGGACGGGAGUGUGGUGGGACCUGAACACGUGUCCGGUUCCCGAUGGUUUUGACCCUCGUCGUGUGCGUGGGUGCAUAGAAUCAGCGGUGCACAAGCAGAUGGGUCAUCGUUCUAAAGUCGUCAUCUAUGCCAUGGGCAACCUAGAAUACAUCUCUAGUGACCUCUUGGAAGAGAUAGCUUACUCUGGAAUCGUUCUUGUCCACGCUCCCUGCGGUAUUAAAAUCCUCUCCUCUCUGGAAUAAUAAUAAUUAUUAUUAUAUCGAUUUGUCAGAGAGUAAUAUCUUUUAUUUCUAGGUGGGAACGACUUCAGAAAGUUACUGGGCGAAUGGUCUCAGCUUAACCCAUCAUCUCCGGCUUAUACUGUCAUGCUCAUAUCCUGCAAUUAUACGAUGGUUGAUCCUUAUCUUUUUCGGCCUACUCGAUUCACUGCUUUUUGUCUAUAUCCAAAAGAUAGCCGGCCAGUUACCCUUGACCAGCAGCCAGUAGCUCAGAAUGUUUUUGUGGGAGAGUUUGUCUGGGAAACUUUAUUGAAUGACAACAUCACAUGUGAGAUGAUGACCGUGAAUGAAGAUGAACCUCUCUGCAUUUGCGACAUAUGCGAUGACACUUUCGAAAUAUGUGCCGAAUUCAUCACUCAUCUCAAGAGUGAAGAACACAUAAAGGAGGUAAGCGAGCGAGCCUCCUCCUCUUCAGCUUUUGUAUCAUUGUCAUGUAACCUCUCUGUGUGUGUGUGUGUGCAGUUGUCUGAUAUAGUGCCUAGAGACUCCUGGUACGGUAAGCCUAUGCAUUUUUGCCAUGUUUGCAAUUAUCCCGGCUACGACGAAUAUAACAUGCUCCUCCAUAACCAAAGUGAAGAUCAUCAUCGCAAGGUAAAGCAUCCUUGCCUCUUUGCUCCUCUGACCAACUCUUCUGUAUCAAUAAAAUUUGAUCCCGUUUUGGUUUGUUUUCAAGCAGAAGAAUCUGGCUGAGAAAAUGGCUCAAGAAGAGGAUUGCGAGAGCAGGAAGAGAAAUCCACAAGUAGAUCUCUUUUACGAGAGAAACAAGAAGCAAUCUCUUUGAACGAGGCAAACAAGCUAGAGCGUGUGCAUGCCCCAUGGGGUCUGUGUUAAGUUUACUUUUGUCGAUUAAUUAAAAUGAAACUCUCAAAGGGGGAUUGAUGAUGAUUGUGUUCUUGGCGAAAAUUAUGCGAGUGUGAGAGACAAGCCUUUACCUUUUUAUCUCUUUAGGAAACUGUAGGGGAAGGAAACCAAGAAACUGUUAUUGUGUCUCAUAUGGACUAAACAUAUUUUUGGCCAUCUCUACUGACUGAGUUGCAAAACUCACUACUUUUUAAACGGAACUGCUUACAUCACUAGUUAACAAAAGAAAAAAACAAUGUCGCUUCUUUUAAUGGGCACAAAUAAAACCAGACUUGUUAUGUCACUCCUGUGACAAAAGAGUGCAUUUCUAUUACAUACAUGUUAGUCUCGUGGAACUAAAGCUGCCCCGAUCUAUAGCAUAAACCUUGUGCCGGGUGUGUGUGACUCACUCACCCAAACGUUUCUUUUGUUCCCUAAAGUGACAACUCUUACAUUUUCUUCGCUAUAUAUAAUUCUUAUAGAAAAAAAUGGCCACAGCCUAAAGGAGGAGUUUAGAAAACAAACGUACUAUAUCAUCAUCAACAACUAUGUGAAACCUUUCUCAACGUUUUUGUGAUUUUAUCUCGGAGCCGCUUUAUCUUAGAACGCAUAUGUGAGUUUGUACCAAAAUAAGAUUCAGCGUUUGACAGCAUUGCAUCCACGUCGUGCUUAAACGACCCCAUACUUCUGUAGUACCGAUUCUCUACUCUCUGGUGAAUCAGCUCUGGGUAUAAAGGAACUGGGAACCUGCAAAAAGGAUUUUAAAUGUAACGAAGCUGAGUUACAUAUAAGGGAAUCAUAUUUAAAGAGAGUCAGAUUGCAGCAGAGAGCAAAGCGUACCUAUUGCAGAAAUCCAUCUUUUGAGCAGCUUCGUUUAGCUUUUGGAUUCCAUAACUAUCCUGAAGAAUAAUAUUAUAGUAACAGAAAAAAAGUAACGGUUAUUAGGCAAGCAAAGAUAAAAAAAGGUAGAGAAAUGACCGGGAGAGAAGACAAAAAAAAAACCUGAUGCUUGCUGAUUGACUUCACUAGUCCAGCAAAUAAAGAAAGUAGUUUCUCUCUUGGCUCUUCGUCCAUGGUAGAGUUUUCCCAAGGAAACUGGGGAUUGUCAAACUCCCAGGGGCUGUGGAGAUUCGUGUCCCCAGUUUCAUAGACAACUUUGUAUCUCUCCCAUGGACUGUCUGGGAAGUUAGGGGACUUAACCUGUGAAGACUCGAUCCUUCCAUCCCACCAAGCACCGCCUUCACUGGACUCGUUUCUCCACCACACACGGCAUUCAUCCCCGACUUCCCAGUUUGUUUUCAUUGCAGCAUCGUAUCGAGUCUUCUCCACAAUAAAAUCCGGAAAAUUAAUGAGGUCAGGCAGUGUUAGUUGGAACUCUUUCCGAGAGGCAUGCGAUGAAGAAGAAUCCAGAACCCUGAGAGUCAUUUUGCAGCAGCUCUCGCCAGAACCAGGAUAUGUAUCGUAGUUGAGUUUCUCGACUUUACAAAACUCUACCGCUCCUAGGUUUCGUGGAAGGUACCUUGAUCGGUCGCUGUCAUUUAAUUCUCUACUUUCAAGGAACUCUUUAUGUCCCUGAGAAACGACAACCAGAGAAAGCUGUCAUUUAAUUCUCUUGAUCUAAGUAAUUAAUACAUGAAACUACCAGCCAAAAGAAAAGGACAUACCUGCUUGAAGUAAACAACUUCAUCCCCUAGCUGGGGUAUAUAGCGGCAGCUUUCCUCGUGUUCUGACAACAUCAACCAUGAGACUUUCCUUGACACAUUAUUCAACCUUAUCCCAGUAUUAAGACUUUGUUUGCUGGUACUUGCAGACCGGGACCUUGAAGUAGAAGGCCAUUCUUCAAGUGAGGCACCAUCAUACACGCUUGUGGAAGGAAUUUCUUGUUUCUUUACUUUAUCUAUUGAUGCAGAGCCUGACCUCAAACGUAAUACACUGUUUCUUGCACUAGAGUGACUUGAAGUGGCCUUCAGUCUCAUAGAUCUCUUCCUACGUAUCACAUCGGCUGUAGCUUCUCCAAACUCAGCGUUGUGAGCAGGAGAGUUUCUAACAUUAUCUCUCACAGGUUCAGAAUCCAUAACAGGAUUCAUGGAAGAGGGAGCUAUGGAUGCAAGACCUUCUCCACCAUCUCCAAAAUCAUCUGCUACCUCAUCAGGCUCUAUUUUUAGAGGACUGCUGGGGUGCCGAAGCUUUAAUCUCAGUCGUCGAACUUUCUUUGGAAUAAUCUCCUCGGCUUCCGUGGAAGUAUCUACAUCACAAUGUCUUCGCUGAACAGAGAAUGGUUCAACAAUUGACAAAUCAUCAUCAUCCCUGCAAGAGAGAAUACAAGGAAUUAGAUAGUGGGAAUUUUAUAUGAGCAUAGAUUUUCUUAGUAAUCAUAACCAGAUUUCCCGUACCCAUUAGAUGUUUGAGCUUCUACAAUGUUCUCAGACUCGGUUAAUUUGGUGGAUUCACAAAGAGGAAUCUCUUCCCUCCACUUGCACAUAUUCUGGUCCUGAUCUGAAGAUUUAAUCAAAUGAUUAUUGGCCUUUUCUCUCUGUGGCGUACUCAUAGAAUGGGGCAUAUCCUGACACCAUGACGCACCUUUUGCAUCUACAGAACUUGACCCAGCUUCUCUAGAGUAUAUACCAAUUACUUUGUGAUUAUCCUCCAAAGAUUUCGAAGAAACAUGCUCCAAAUCAGCUUGACUCAUUACACCUCUCUUGCUUUCCACAGACUCUGUUGGCUUCUUAACCGAGAUCUUUACAAUCAAUCUUUUCUUUUGUUUGUCAUUUGAAAGAGAUUCCAGCUUCUGAGAUGGCUUUUCCAACUGUUGCAAAGGUGAUGCGCUUCUAUCAGAGUCACUAUUGGAUGAAUCAUCAGCUUCAUCCGAAGAGCUUCCAGAAAUCUUUGAAAGCAAGGACCGAGCAUUUUGCGCGGCUGCUCUUUGCGGUCGUGAUUCCUUGACAUCAGAAUAUCUUCUUUUUG